This 497-nucleotide unclassified non-coding RNA is filed under the name Aspergillus carlsbadensis. RNAcentral describes it as "sequence contains ITS1, 5.8S rRNA gene, ITS2". The stretch from base 179 to 332 matches the Rfam family "5.8S ribosomal RNA". The record is from RNAcentral. Lineage: Eukaryota; Fungi; Ascomycota; Eurotiomycetes; Eurotiales; Aspergillaceae.
CUGCGGAAGGAUCAUUACCGAGUGCAGGUCUGCCCCCGGGCAGGCCUAACCUCCCACCCGUGAAUACCUGACCAACGUUGCUUCGGCGGUGCGCCUCCCCCCCGGGGGGGCAGCCGCCGGGGACCACACCGAACCUCUUGUCUUUAGUGUUGUCUGAGCUUGAUAGCAAACCUAUUAAAACUUUCAACAAUGGAUCUCUUGGUUCCGGCAUCGAUGAAGAACGCAGCGAACUGCGAUAAGUAAUGUGAAUUGCAGAAUUCAGUGAAUCAUCGAGUCUUUGAACGCACAUUGCGCCCCCUGGCAUUCCGGGGGGCAUGCCUGUCCGAGCGUCAUUGCUGCCCUUCAAGCCCGGCUUGUGUGUUGGGUCGUCGUCCCCCCCGGGGGACGGGCCCGAAAGGCAGCGGCGGCACCGCGUCCGGUCCUCGAGCGUAUGGGGCUUUGUCACCCGCUCGAUAAGGGCCGGCCGGGCGCCAGCCGGCGUCUCCAACCUUCUAUUU